This 586-nucleotide ribosomal RNA is filed under the name Trichoderma asperellum. RNAcentral's name for it is "eukaryotic LSU rRNA". The stretch from base 193 to 346 matches the Rfam family "5.8S ribosomal RNA". The record is from RNAcentral. Lineage: Eukaryota; Fungi; Ascomycota; Sordariomycetes; Hypocreales; Hypocreaceae.
AAUGAACGGGAACUGGCCAGAUCGCCAACCCAAUGUGAACGUUACCAAACUGUUGCCUCCGGCGGGGUCACGCCCCGGGUGCGUCGCAGCCCCGGAACCAGGCGCCCGCCGGAGGAACCAACCAAACUCUUUCUGUAGUCCCCUCGCGGACGUAUUUCUUACAGCUCUGAGCAAAAAUUCAAAAUGAAUCAAAACUUUCAACAACGGAUCUCUUGGUUCUGGCAUCGAUGAAGAACGCAGCGAAAUGCGAUAAGUAAUGUGAAUUGCAGAAUUCAGUGAAUCAUCGAAUCUUUGAACGCACAUUGCGCCCGCCAGUAUUCUGGCGGGCAUGCCUGUCCGAGCGUCAUUUCAACCCUCGAACCCCUCCGGGGGAUCGGCGUUGGGGAUCGGGACCCCUCACACGGGUGCCGGCCCCUAAAUACAGUGGCGGUCUCGCCGCAGCCUCUCCUGCGCAGUAGUUUGCACAACUCGCACCGGGAGCGCGGCGCGUCCACGUCCGUAAAACACCCAACUUUCUGAAAUGUUGACCUCGGAUCAGGUAGGAAUACCCGCUGAACUUAAGCAUAUCAGGGGGGGGAAGAAAAAA